AGUGAACGCUGGCGGUAGGCCUAACACAUGCAAGUCGAACGGCAGCACAGUAAGAGCUUGCUCUUACGGGUGGCGAGUGGCGGACGGGUGAGGAAUACAUCGGAAUCUACUUUUUCGUGGGGGAUAACGUAGGGAAACUUACGCUAAUACCGCAUACGACCUACGGGUGAAAGCAGGGGAUCUUCGGACCUUGCGCGAUUGAAUGAGCCGAUGUCGGAUUAGCUAGUUGGCGGGGUAAAGGCCCACCAAGGCGACGAUCCGUAGCUGGUCUGAGAGGAUGAUCAGCCACACUGGAACUGAGACACGGUCAAGACUCCUACGGGAGGCAGCAGUGGGGAAUAUUGGACAAUGGGCGCAAGCCUGAUCCAGCCAUACCGCGUGGGUGAAGAAGGCCUUCGGGUUGUAAAGCCCUUUUGUUGGGAAAGAAAAGCAGCAGGUUAAUACCCAGCUGUUCUGACGGUACCCAAGGAAUAAGCACCGGCUAACUUCGUG
RNAcentral lists this ribosomal RNA (492 nucleotides) under uncultured bacterium. RNAcentral describes it as "partial 16S ribosomal RNA". It matches the Rfam family "Bacterial small subunit ribosomal RNA", at positions 29 to 507 of the family's 1533-position model. The record is from RNAcentral.